Molecule: ribosomal RNA, 2761 nt
Filed under: Eutreptia viridis
Lineage: Eukaryota; Euglenozoa; Euglenophyceae; Eutreptiales; Eutreptiaceae
Description: bacterial LSU rRNA
Rfam family: Bacterial large subunit ribosomal RNA
Source: RNAcentral
AAGAGCUUUUUGUGGAUAUCUUGGAACUUUGAGGCGAUGAAGGGCAUAGUAACCAAUGAAAUGUUCCGGGGAGUUGGAAACAAGUUUUGAUCCGGAAAUUCCCUAAUAAAGCAAUUUAUAAACUUCUUUAAGAAUUUAUAUUAAAGAAAGAGCAAACUCAGUGAAUUGAAACAUCUUAUUAGCUGAAGGAAAAAAAAGCAAUAGCGAUUCCCUUAGUAGCGGCGAGCGAAGUGGGAGGUGCCUAAACCCUUUUGGGGUGUCGUGGGAUGAUUUAAUAUUACGAAGUUAAGAGAAUUACUUGAAUUGUGAACCAUAGAAGGUGAUAGUCCUGUAUCUGAAGUGACAGUAAAGAUAAUUCUUUAAUCCCGAGUAGCAUAGAGCACGUGGAAUUCUGUGUGAAUCAGCGAGGACCACCUCGUAAGGCUAAAUACUCUAAAGUUACCGAUAGUGAAUAAGUACCGUGAGGGAAUGAUGAAAAGAACCCCUAUAGGGGAGUGAAAUAGAAUUUGAAACAAAUAGCUUACAAGCAGCGGGAGAGAAAUUGACCGUGUGCCUGUUGAAGAAUGUGCCGGCGACUUAUAGGUAAUGGCUUUAUUGAUUAAAUUUUUAAUUUUAUAAUCGAAGCGAAAGCGAGUUUUAAUAAAGCGUCAGUCAUUAUUUAUAGACCCGAACCCGGGUGAUCUAAUCAUGGACAGGUUGAAGCGUAUUUAAUACUACGUGGAGGACCGGACCCACCGAUGUUGAAAAAUCGGGGGAUGAGCUGUGAUUAGCGGAGAAAUUCCAAUCGAACUCGGAGCUAGCUGGAUCUCUCCGAAAUGUGUUGAGGCGCAGCGAUUAAUUAUGAUAUUUUAGGGGUAAAGCACUGUUUCGAUGCGGGCCUUGAAAGAGGUACUAAGUUGUAGCAAACUCUGAAUACUAAAAUUUUUCAAUUAGUCAGUGAGACUGUGGGGGAUAAGCUUCAUAGUCAAGAGGGAAACAGCCCAGAUCAUCAGAUAAGGCCCCAAAGUAGUUGCUAAGUGAUAAAGGAAGUAAAAGUGCAUAGACAACCAGUAGGUUUGCCUAGAAGCAGCCAUCCUUUAAAGAAUGCGUAAUAGCUCACUGGUCAAGCGCUUUUGCGCCGAAAAUGAACGGGACUAAGCAAUUUGCCAAAGCUAUGAGAUAUUUAUAUCGGUAGGAGAGCGUCUUGUUUUAGAUUGAAGUAAUUUUGUAAAAUUUUAUGGACGAAACAAGAGUGAGAAUGUCGGCUUGAGUAACGAAAACAUUGGUGAGAAUCCAAUGCCCCGAAAACCUAAGGAUUCCUUUGCAAGGUUCGUCCUCAAAGGGUGAGUCAGGACCUAAGGUGAGGCUUAAAAGCGUAUCCGAUGGAUAAUAGGUUAAUAUUCCUAUACUACAUUGUAUUUAGCUAGAAAUGACGAAAAAGACUAGGUUGGCCAAAUGUUGGUUAUUGGUUCAAGCAUCUAAGGUGUAGAUAGAUAUUAUAAAAAAUAUUUUGAGCUAAAAUGCGAGUUACGAGUGAGUUUUAUAUUUUAUAAAGCUUUGCAAGCAACGGAUGUCAUGUUUCCUAGAAAAGUUUCUGCAGCAUAUUAUAUUUUGUACCUGUACUAUAAACCGACACAGGUGGGUAAGUAGAGAAUACUAAGGGGCGCGAGACAACUCUUUUUAAGGAACUCGGCAAAAUAGCCCUGUAACUUCGGGAGAAAGGGUGCCCUUUAAAUAGGGUUACAAUAAUCAGACCCAGGCGACUGUUUACCAAAAACACAGGUCUCCGCAAAAUUGAAAAAUGAUGUAUGGGGGCUGACGCCUGCCCAGUGCCGGAAGGUUAAAGAAAUUGGUUAGCUUUUAUUAGCGAAGCUAGUGACUGAAGCCCCGGUGAACGGCGGCCGUAACUAUAACGGUCCUAAGGUAGCGAAAUUCCUUGUCGGGUAAGUUCCGACCUGCACGAAAGGCGUAACGAUCUGGGUACUGUCUCAAAAAGAGACUCGGUGAAAUAGAAUUGACUGUGAAGAUGCGGUCUACCUACACUUGGACAGAAAGACCCUAUGAAGCUUUACUGUAGUUUGAAAUUGAUUUUGGAUUUUUAUUGUGCAGCAUAAGUGGGAGGCGUUGAAGAUAUUUUUUCGGAAAUUUGGAGCCGUUAGUGAGAUACCACUCUAUAAAAGUUAGAAAUCUAAAAAUGUUUCUUGAAUCAGGACAUUUGACAUUUUCAGAUAGGCAGUUUUACUGGGGCGGUAGCCUCCCAAAAGGUAACGGAGGCGUGCAAAGGUUCUCUCAGGUUAGUCGGAAAUUUAUUGAAGAGUAUAAAGGCAUAAGAGAGCUUGACUGUAAGACCUACAAGUCGAACAGAGACGAAAGUCGGCCUUAGUGAUCCGACGGUUCUGAGUGGAAAGGCCGUCGCUCAACGGAUAAAAGUUACUCUAGGGAUAACAGGCUGAUCUCCCCCAAGAGUUCACAUCGACGGGGAGGUUUGGCACCUCGAUGUCGGCUCAUCGCAGCCUAGGGCAGAAGUAUGUCCUAAGGGUUGGGCUGUUCGCCCAUUAAAGCGGUACGUGAGCUGGGUUCAGAACGUCGUGAGACAGUUCGGUCCAUAUCCGGUGUAGGCGUUUGAGUAUUGAGGAGAUCUUUUCUUAGUACGAGAGGACCGGAAAGGACACACCACUGGUGUACCAGUUCUUAUGCCAAUAGGAAAUGCUGGGUAGCUACGUGUGGAGCGGAUAACUGCUGAAAGCAUAUAAGUAGGAAGCCCACUUCGAGAUGAUUACUC